This 65-nucleotide transfer RNA is filed under the name Dipodomys ordii (Ord's kangaroo rat). It matches the Rfam family "tRNA". From Rfam's summary of the family: Transfer RNA (tRNA) molecules are approximately 80 nucleotides in length. The record is from Rfam by way of RNAcentral. Lineage: Eukaryota; Metazoa; Chordata; Mammalia; Rodentia; Heteromyidae.
GGUGGCUCAGAGGUAAAGUACUUGCCUUGCAUGCAUGAGGCCCUGGGUUCGAUUCCUCAGCACCA